AUCCCAAUGAGAUUUCACUUAAAAGUCUAGUCUGUGUUAACGUUCUGCUAUACCGUACGAGCUAACUCACCUGGGAGCAGCUCCUCAACAUGACGAAGAUGAUGCUGUUCCAAGCACUUCUCUGGGCACUUCUCGGCUCAGCAUUCUUAAAGACUGCUGCAGCAACAACAAGUACACCAACUACUGCAAAUGCAACAACAUCCACGAGCUUUGAGACAUCGACUACAACACCUGAACCAGAUUUGACUACAACACCUGAACAAACUACCACUACUUAUGCCACAACUACUAUGGGGCCAACUACAUCCACAACCAAGGUGCCAACAACUACUUCACCUGAACCAACUACUACUACUGAUGAACCAACAACAUUGACGACAACUCUUAUAACUACGACCACGACCAGUGAGCCAACUACUACCCCUGAAUUAACUUCCACUACUGAAUUAACAUCAACAACAACUGCACAAACUACAACACUCGAACAAACUACAUCCACUACCAUGGUGCCAACAACUACUUCUCCUGAACCAACUACUACUACUACCAGUGAGCCAACUACUACCCCUGAAAUAACAACCACAACACCUGAACAAACUACCACAACUUAUACAACAACUACACCUGAACCAACUACUACUACUGCACAAACUACAACACCUGAACUAACUACAACAACUACACCUGAACCAACUACUACUACUAAUGAGCCAACAACAUUGACUACAACUGUUAUGACUACGACCACGACCAGUGAGCCAACUACUACCCCUGAAAUAACGACCACAACACCUGGACAAACGACCACAACUUAUGCAACAACUACACCUGAACCAACUACUACUACUGCACAAACUACAACACCUGAACUAACUACAACAACUGCACCUGAACCAACUACUACUACUAAUGAGCCAACAACAUUGACUACAACUGUUAUAACUACAACCACGACCAGUGAGCCAACUACUACCCCUGAAUUAACUACCACUACUGAAUUAACAUCAACUACUACUGCACAAACUACAACAGCCGAACAAACUACAUCCACUACCAUGGUGCCAACAACUACUUCACCUGAACCAACUACUACUACUACCAGUGAGCCAACUACUACCCCUGAAAUAACUACCACAACACCUGAACAAACUACCACAACUUAUACAACAACUACACCUGAACCAACUACUACUACUGCACAAACUACAACACCUGAACUAACUACAACAACUACACCUGAACCAACUACUACUACUAAUGAGCCAACAACAUUGACUACAACUGUUAUGACUACGACCACGACCAGUGAGCCAACUACUACUCCUGAAAUAACGACCACAACACCUGAACAAACGACCACAACUUAUGCAACAACUACACCUGAACCAACUACUACUACUGCACAAACUACAACACCUGAACUAACUACAACAACUACACCUGAACCAACUACUACUACUAAUGAGCCAACAACAUUGACUACAACUGUUAUAACUACGACCACGACCAGUGAGCCAACUACUACCCCUGAAUUAACUACCACUACUGAAUUAACAUCAACUACUACUGCACAAACUACAACAGCCGAACAAACUACAUCCACUACCAUGGUGCCAACAACUACUUCACCUGAACCAACUACUACUACUACCAGUGAGCCAACUACUACCCCUGAAAUAACUACCACAACACCUGAACAAACUACCACAACUUAUACAACAACUACACCUGAACCAACUACUACUACUGCACAAACUACAACACCUGAAGUAACUACAACAACUACACCUGAACCAACUACUACUACUAAUGAGCCAACAACAUUGACUACAACUGUUAUGACUACGACCACGACCAGUGAGCCAACUACUACCCCUGAAAUAACGACCACAACACCUGAACAAACGACCACAACUUAUGCAACAACUACACCUGAACCAACUACUACUACUGCACAAACUUCAACACCUGAACAAACUACCACAACUUAUACAACAACUACACCUGAACCAACUACUACUACUGCACAAACUACAACACCUGAACUAACUACAACAACUACACCUGAACCAACUACUACUACUAAUGAGCCAACAACAUUGACUACAACUGUUAUAACUACGACCACGACCAGUGAGCCAACUACUACCCCUGAAUUAACUACCACUACUGAAUUAACAUCAACUACUACUGCACAAACUACAACAGCCGAACAAACUACAUCCACUACCAUGGUGCCAACAACUACUUCACCUGAACCAACUACUACUACUACCAGUGAGCCAACUACUACCCCUGAAAUAACUACCACAACACCUGAACAAACUACCACAACUUAUACAACAACUACACCUGAACCAACUACUACUACUGCACAAACUACAACACCUGAACUAACUACAACAACUACACCUGAACCAACUACUACUACUAAUGAGCCAACAACAUUGACUACAACUGUUAUGACUACGACCACGACCAGUGAGCCAACUACUACUCCUGAAAUAACGACCACAACACCUGAACAAACGACCACAACUUAUGCAACAACUACACCUGAACCAACUACUACUACUGCACAAACUACAACACCUGAACUAACUACAACAACUACACCUGAACCAACUACUACUACUAAUGAGCCAACAACAUUGACUACAACUGUUAUAACUACGACCACGACCAGUGAGCCAACUACUACCCCUGAAUUAACUACCACUACUGAAUUAACAUCAACUACUACUGCACAAACUACAACAGCCGAACAAACUACAUCCACUACCAUGGUGCCAACAACUACUUCACCUGAACCAACUACUACUACUACCAGUGAGCCAACAACUACCCCUGAAAUAACUACCACAACACCUGAACAAACUACCACAACUUAUACAACAACUACACCUGAACCAACUACUACUACUGCACAAACUACAACACCUGAACUAACUACAACAACUACACCUGAACCAACUACUACUACUAAUGAGCCAACAACAUUGACUACAACUGUUAUGACUACGACCACGACCAGUGAGCCAACUACUACCCCUGAAAUAACGACCACAACACCUGAACAAACGACCACAACUUAUGCAACAACUACACCUGAACCAACUACUACUACUGCACAAACUACAACACCUGAACUAACUACAACAACUACACCUGAACCAACUACUACUACUAAUGAGCCAACAACAUUGACUACAACUGUUAUAACUACGACCACGACCAGUGAGCCAACUACUACCCCUGAAUUAACUACCACUACUGAAUUAACAUCAACUACUACUGCACAAACUACAACAGCCGAACAAACUACAUCCACUACCAUGGUGCCAACAACUACUUCACCUGAACCAACUACUGCUACUACCAGUGAGCCAACAACUACCCCUGAAAUAACUACCACAACACCUGAACAAACUACCACAACUUAUACAACAACUACACCUGAACCAACUACUACUACUGCACAAACUACAACACCUGAACUAACUACAACAACUACACCUGAACCAACUACUACUACUAAUGAGCCAACAACAUUGACUACAACUGUUAUGACUACGACCACGACCAGUGAGCCAACUACUACCCCUGAAAUAACGACCACAACACCUGACCAAACGACCACAACUUAUGCAACAACUACACCUGAACCAACUACUACUACUGCACAAACUACAACACCUGAACUAACUACAACAACUACACCUGAACCAACUACUACUACUAAUGAGCCAACAACAUUGACUACAACUGUUAUAACUACGACCACGACCAGUGAGCCAACUACUACCCCUGAAUUAACUACCACUACUGAAUUAACAUCAACUACUACUGCACAAACUACAACAGCCGAACAAACUACAUCCACUACCAUGGUGCCAACAACUACUUCACCUGAACCAACUACUACUACUACCAGUGAGCCAACUACUACCCCUGAAAUAACUACCACAACACCUGAACAAACUACCACAACUUAUACAACAACUACACCUGAACCAACUACUACUACUGCACAAACUACAACACCUGAACUAACUACAACAACUACACCUGAACCAACUACUACUACUAAUGAGCCAACAACAUUGACUACAACUGUUAUGACUACGACCACGACCAGUGAGCCAACUACUACCCCUGAAAUAACAACCACAACACCUGAACAAACGACCACAACUUAUGCAACAACUACACCUGAACCAACUACUACUACUGCACAAACUACAACACCUGAACUAACUACAACAACUACACCUGAACCAACUACUACUACUAAUGAGCCAACAACAUUGACUACAACUGUUAUAACUACGACCACGACCAGUGAGCCAACUACUACCCCUGAAUUAACUACCACUACUGAAUUAACAUCAACUACUACUGCACAAACUACAACAGCCGAACAAACUACAUCCACUACCAUGGUGCCAACAACUACAUCACCUGAACCAACUACUACUACUACCAGUGAGCCAACUACUACCCCUGAAAUAACUACCACAACACCUGAACAAACUACCACAACUUAUACAACAACUACACCUGAACCAACUACUACUACUGCACAAACUACAACACCUGAACUAACUACAACAACUACACCUGAACCAACUACUACUACUAAUGAGCCAACAACAUUGACUACAACUGUUAUGACUACGACCACGACCAGUGAGCCAACUACUACCCCUGAAAUAACGACCACAACACCUGAACAAACGACCACAACUUAUGCAACAACUACACCUGAACCAACUACUACUACUGCACAAACUUCAACACCUGAACAAACUACCACAACUUAUACAACAACUACACCUGAACCAACUACUACUACUGCACAAACUACAACACCUGAACUAACUACAACAACUACACCUGAACCAACUACUACUACUAAUGAGCCAACAACAUUGACUACAACUGUUAUGACUACGACCACGACCAGUGAGCCAACUACUACCCCUGAAAUAACGACCACAACACCUGAACAAACGACCACAACUUAUGCAACAACUACACCUGAACCAACUACUACUACUGCACAAACUUCAACACCUGAACAAACUACCACAACUUAUACAACAACUACACCUGAACCAACUACUACUACUGCACAAACUACAACACCUGAACUAACUACAACAACUACACCUGAACCAACUACUACUACUAAUGAGCCAACAACAAUGACUACAACUGUUAUGACUACGACCACGACCAGUGAGCCAACUACUACCCCUGAAAUAACGACCACAACACCUGAACAAACGACCACAACUUAUGCAACAACUACACCUGAACCAACUACUACUACUGCACAAACUACAACACCUGAACUAACUACAACAACUACACCUGAACCAACUACUACUACUAAUGAGCCAACAACAUUGACUACAACUGUUAUAACUACGACUACGACCAGUGAGCCAACUACUACCCCUGUAUUAACUACCACUACUGAAUUAACAUCAACUACUACUGCACAAACUACAACAGCCGAACAAACUACAUCCACUACGAUGGUGCCAACAACUACUUCACCUGAACCAACUACUACUACCACCAGUGAGCCAACUACUACCACUGAAAUAACUACCACAACACCUGAACAAACUACCACAACUUAUACAACAACUACACCUGAACCAACUACUACUACUGCACAAACUACAACACCUGAACUAACUACAACAACUACACCUGAACCAACUACUACUACUAAUGAGCCAACAACAUUGACUACAACUGUUAUGACUACGACCACGACCAGUGAGCCAACUACUACCCCUGAAAUAACAACCACAACACCUGAACAAACGACCACAACUUAUGCAACAACUACACCUGAACCAACUACUACUACUGAACAAACUACAACACCUGAACUAACUACAACAACUACACCUGAACCAACUACUACUACUAAUGAGCCAACAACAUUGACUACAACUGUUAUAACUACGACCACGACCAGUGAGCCAACUACUACCCCUGAAUUAACUACCACUACUGAAUUAACAUCAACUACUACUGCACAAACUACAACAGCCGAACAAACUACAUCCACUACCAUGGUGCCAACAACUACUUCACCUGAACCAACUACUACUACUACCAGUGAGCCAACUACUACCCCUGAAAUAACUACCACAACACCUGAACAAACUACCACAACUUAUACAACAACUACACCUGAACCAACUACUACUACUGCACAAACUACAACACCUGAACUAACUACAACAACUACACCUGAACCAACUACUACUACUAAUGAGCCAACAACAUUGACUACAACUGUUAUGACUACGACCACGACCAGUGAGCCAACUACUACCCCUGAAAUAACGACCACAACACCUGAACAAACGACCACAACUUAUGCAACAACUACACCUGAACCAACUACUACUACUGCACAAACUUCAACACCUGAACAAACUACCACAACUUAUACAACAACUACACCUGAACCAACUACUACUACUGCACAAACUACAACACCUGAACUAACUACAACAACUACACCUGAACCAACUACUACUACUAAUGAGCCAACAACAAUGACUACAACUGUUAUGACUACGACCACGACCAGUGAGCCAACUACUACCCCUGAAAUAACGACCACAACACCUGAACAAACGACCACAACUUAUGCAACAACUACACCUGAACCAACUACUACUACUGCACAAACUACAACACCUGAACUAACUACAACAACUACACCUGAACCAACUACUACUACUAAUGAGCCAACAACAUUGACUACAACUGUUAUAACUACGACUACGACCAGUGAGCCAACUACUACCCCUGUAUUAACUACCACUACUGAAUUAACAUCAACUACUACUGCACAAACUACAACAGCCGAACAAACUACAUCCACUACGAUGGUGCCAACAACUACUUCACCUGAACCAACUACUACUACCACCAGUGAGCCAACUACUACCACUGAAAUAACUACCACAACACCUGAACAAACUACCACAACUUAUACAACAACUACACCUGAACCAACUACUACUACUAAUGAGCCAACAACAUUGACUACAACUGUUAUAACUACGACCACGACCAGUGAGCCAACUACUACUACUGAAUUAACAUCAACUACAACUGCACAAACUACAACAGCUGAACAAACUACAUCUACUACCAUGGUGCCAACAACUACUUCACCUGAACCAACUACUACUACAACCAGUGAGCCAACUACUACCCCUAAAAUAACUACAACAACACCUGAACAAACUACCACUACUUAUACAACAACUACACCUGAACCAACUACUACUACUAAUGAGCCAACAACAACUACUACCCCUGAAAUAACUACCACAACACCUGAACAAACUACCACAACUUAUACAACAACUACACCUGAACCAACUACUACUACUAAUGAGCCAACAACAUUGACUACAACUGUUAUAACUACGACCACGACCAGUGAGCCAACUACUACUACUGAAUUAACAUCAACUACAACUGCACAAACUACAACAGCCGAACAAACUACAUCUACUACCAUGGUGCCAACAACUACUUCACCUGAACCAACUACUACUACUACCAGUGAGCCAACUACUACCCCUGAAAUAACUACCACAACAUCUGAACAAACUACCACUACUUAUACAACAACUACACCUGAACCAACUACUACUACUAAUGAACCAACAACAUUGACUACAACUGUUAUAACAACGACCACGACCAGUGAGCCAACUACUACUACUGAAUUAACAUCAACUACAACUGCACAAACUACAACAGCCGAACAAACUACAUCUACUACCAUGGUGCCAACAACUACUUCACCUGAACCAACUACUACUACUACCAGUGAGCCAACUACGACCCCUGAAAUAACUACCACAACACCUGAACAAACUACCACUACUUAUACAACAACUACACCUGAACCAACUACUACUACUAAUGAGCCAACAACAUUGACUACAACUGUUAUAACUACGACCACGACCAGUGAGCCAACUACUACUACUGAAUUAACAUCAACUGCACAAACUACAACAGCCGAACAAACUACAUCUACUACCAUGGUGCCAACAACUACUUCACCUGAACCAACUACUACUACUACCAGUGAGCCAACUACUACCCCUGAAAUAACUACCACCACACCUGAACAAACUACCACUACUUAUACAACAACUACACCUGAAUCAACUACUACUACUAAUGAGCCAACAACAUUGACUACAACUGUUAUAAGUACGACCACGACCAGUGAGCCAACUACUACCCCUGGAUUACCUACCACUACUGAAUUAACAUCAACUACUACUGCACAAACUACAACAGCCGUACAAACUACAUCCACUACCAUGGUGCCAACAACUACUUCACCUGAACCAACUACUACUACUACUACCAGUGAGCCAACUACUACCCCUGAAAUAACUACCACAACACCUGAACAAACUACCACUACUUAUACAACAACUACACCUGAACCAACUACUACUACUAAUGAGCCAACAACUACUACCCCUGAAAUAACUACCACAACACCUGAACAAACUACCACAACUUAUACAACAACUACACCUGAACAAACUACCACAACUUAUACAACAACUACACCUGAACCAACUACUACUACUAAUGAGCCAACAACAUUGACUACAACUGUUAUAACUAUGACCACGACCAGUGAGCCAACUACUACUACUGAAUUAACAUCAACUACAACUGCACAAACUACAACAGCCGAACAAACUACAUCUACUACCAUGGUGCCAACAACUACUUCACCUGAACCAACUACUACUACAACCAGUGAGCCAACUACUACCCCUGAAAUAACUACCACAACACCUGAACAAACUACCACUACUUAUACAACAACUACACCUGAACCAACUACUACUACUAAUGAGCCAACAACUACUACCCCUGAAAUAACUACCACAACACCUGAACAAACUACCACAACUUAUACAACAACUACACCUGAACAAACUACCACAACUUAUACAACAACUACACCUGAACCAACUACUACUACUAAUGAGCCAACAACAUUGACUACAACUGUUAUAACUACGACCACGACCAGUGAGCCAACUACUACUACUGAAUUAACAUCAACUACAACUGCACAAACUACAACAGCCGAACAAACUACAUCUACUACCAUGGUGCCAACAACUACUUCACCUGAACCAACUACUACUACAACCAGUGAGCCAACUACUACCCCUGAAAUAACUACCACAACACCUGAACAAACUACCACUACUUAUACAACAACUACACCUGAACCAACUACUACUACUAAUGAACCAACAACAUUGACUACAACUGUUAUAACAACGACCACGACCAGUGAGCCAACUACUACUACUGAAUUAACAUCAACUACAACUGCACAAACUACAACAGCCGAACAAACUACAUCUACUACCAUGGUGCCAACAACUACUUCACCUGAACCAACUACUACUACUACCAGUGAGCCAACUACGACCCCUGAAAUAACUACCACAACACCUGAACAAACUACCACUACUUAUACAACAACUACACCUGAACCAACUACUACUACUAAUGAGCCAACAACAUUGACUACAACUGUUAUAACUACGACCACGACCAGUGAGCCAACUACUACUACUGAAUUAACAUCAACUGCACAAACUACAACAGCCGAACAAACUACAUCUACUACCAUGGUGCCAACAACUACUUCACCUGAACCAACUACUACUACUACCAGUGAGCCAACUACUACCCCUGAAAUAACUACCACCACACCUGAACAAACUACCACUACUUAUACAACAACUACACCUGAAUCAACUACUACUACUAAUGAGCCAACAACAUUGACUACAACUGUUAUAAGUACGACCACGACCAGUGAGCCAACUACUACCCCUGGAUUACCUACCACUACUGAAUUAACAUCAACUACUACUGCACAAACUACAACAGCCGUACAAACUACAUCCACUACCAUGGUGCCAACAACUACUUCACCUGAACCAACUACUACUACUACCAGUGAGCCAACUACUACCCCUGAAAUAACUACCACAACACCUGAACAAACUACCACUACUUAUACAACAACUACACCUGAACCAACUACUACUACUAAUGAGCCAACAACUACUACCCCUGAAAUAACUACCACAACACCUGAACAAACUACCACAACUUAUACAACAACUACACCUGAACAAACUACCACAACUUAUACAACAACUACACCUGAACCAACUACUACUACUAAUGAGCCAACAACAUUGACUACAACUGUUAUAACUACGACCACGACCAGUGAGCCAACUACUACUACUGAAUUAACAUCAACUACAACUGCACAAACUACAACAGCCGAACAAACUACAUCUACUACCAUGGUGCCAACAACUACUUCACCUGAACCAACUACUACUACAACCAGUGAGCCAACUACUACCCCUGAAAUAACUACCACAACACCUGAACAAACUACCACUACUUAUACAACAACUACACUUGAACCAACUACUACUACUAAUGAGCCAACAACAUUGACUACAACUGUUAUAACUACGACCACGACCAGUGAGCCAACUACUACUACUGAAUUAACAUCAACUACAACUGCACAAACUACAACAGCCGAACAAACUACAUCUACUACCAUGGUGCCAACAACUACUUCACCUGAACCAACUACUACUACUACCAGUGAGCCAACUACUACCCCAGAAAUAACUACCACAACACCUGAACAAACUACCACUACUUAUACAACAACUACACCUGAAGCAACUACUUCUGGUAAUGGGACAACAACUACUACCCCUGAAAUAACUACCACAACACCUGAACAAACUACCACAACUUAUACAACAAUUACACCUGAACAAACUACCACAACUUAUACAACAACUACACCUGAACCAACUACUACUACUAAUGAGCCAACAACAUUGACUACAACUGUUAUAACUACGACCACUACCAGUGAGCCAACUACUACUACUGAAUUAACAUCAACUACUACUGCACAAACUACAACAGCCGUACAAACUACAUCCACUACCAUGGUGCCAACAACUACUUCACCUGAACCAACUACUACCAGUGAGCCAACUACUACCCCUGAAAUAACUACCACAACACCUGAACAAACUACCACUACUUAUACAACAACUACACCUGAACCAACUACUACUACUAAUGAGCCAACAACAACUACUACCCCUGAAAUAACUACCACAACACCUGAACAAACUACCACUACUUAUACAACAACUACACCUGAACCAACUACUUCUGGUAAUGGGACAACAACUACUACCCCUGAAAUAACUACCACAACACCUGAACAAACUACCACAACUUAUACAACAAUUACACCUGAACAAACUACCACAACUUAUACAACAACUACACCUGAACCAACUACUACUACUAAUGAGCCAACAACAUUGACUACAACUGUUAUAACUACGACCACGACCAGUGAGCCAACUACUACUACUGAAUUAACAUCAACUGCACAAACUACAACAGCCGAACAAACUACAUCUACUACCAUGGUGCCAACAACUACUUCACCUGAACCAACUACUACUACUACCAGUGAGCCAACUACUACCCCUGAAAUAACUACCACAACACCUGAACAAACUACCACUACUUAUACAACAACUACACCUGAACCUAUUACUACUACUAAUGAGCCAACAACAUUGACUACCACUGUUAUUACUACGACCACUACCAGUGAGCCAACAACUACCCCUGAAAUAACCACCACUACUGAAUUAUCAACAACUACUACUGCACAAACUACAACAGCUGAACAAACAACAUCCUCUACCAUGGUGUCAACAACGACUACACCUGAAACAUCUACUUCUACUAAUGUGCCAACAACAUUGACGACAACUGUUAUAACUACGAUCACUACCAGUGAGCCAACUACGACGCCUGAAAUAAUGACCACUACUGAAAUAACAUCAACCACUACUGAACAAACUACAACACCUGAACAAACUACAACUACUUAUACAACAACUACACCUGAACCAACUACUAUUUCUAUCAAGCCGACAACAUUGACUACAACUAUGACAACUACCGGUGAGCUAACAUCACCUACACCUGAACAAACUACAUCUAGUUUUACAGUUCCUACCUCAGAGUCAACUGUAGCCAAUGAUGAUGAGCUAAGACUCAAUGUACCUUCACCAGUUACUACUACUACUAAUGAGCCAACAACAUUGAGUACAACUGUUAUAACUACGACCACGACCAGUGAGCCAACUACUACCCCUGAAUUAACUACCACUACUGAAUUAACAUCCACUAUUACUGCACAAACUACAACAGCCGAGCAAACUACAUCCACUACCAUGGUGCCAACAUCUACUUCACCUGAACCAACUACUACUACUACCAGUGAGCCAACUACUACCCCUGAAACAACCACCACAACACCUGAACAAACUACCACUACUUAUACAACAACUACACCUGAACCAACUACUACUACUAAUGAGCCAACAACUACGACCCCUGAAAUAACUACCACAACACCUGAACAAACUACCACAACUUAUACAACAACUACACCUGAACCAACUACUAAUACUAAUGAGCCAACAACAUUGACUACAACUGUUAUAACUACGACCACAACCAGUGAGCCAUCUACUACCCCUGAACUAACUACCACUACUGAAUUAACAUCAACUACUACUGCACAAACUACAACAGCCGAGCAAACUUCAUCCACUACCAUGGUGCCAUCAACUACUUCACCUGAACCAACUACUACUACUACCAUUGAGCCAACUACUACCCCUGAAAUAACCACCACAACACCUGAACAAACUACCACUACUUAUACAACAACUACACCUGAACCAACUACUACUACUAAUAAGCCAACAACUACUACCCCUGAAUUAACUACCACAACACCUGAACAAACUACCACAACAUAUACAACAACUACACCUGAACCAACUACUACUUCUAUCAAGCCGACAACAUUGACUACAACUACGACAACUACCGGUGAGCUAACAACACCUACACCUGAACAAACUACAUCUAGUUUUACAGUUCCUACCUCAGAGUCAACUGUAGCCAAUGAUGAUGAGCUAAGACUCAAUGUACCUCCACCAGUUACUACUACUACUACUACUCAAGGAAUUGAAGAACCAACUACAGCAAAAGUAGCAGUUACACCUCAUACAAGAACAACCACUUCUAUCAGCAAAACUGAAGAAACACAAAAUAUUUGUCACGAAUUGUCCCAAUUGUUGAACCAUUUUGAAACAGCGAUGUGCGAGGUAAAAAAACUGAUUUUUGAAGAAGUAGAAAAACUUCUGAUUCUACAAAUUCAUGAACAGCUGCUACAUCAGCAACAGCAAUUACUAUUCCUACAACAGCAACUGCCAAUUUACCACCAACAUCAACCACUAAUGCACUGUCAACAACACGUGAUGCUUAAUCACCAACAACUACUGCUUUCUCAGCUUUAUCCUUUACAUCCACAGUUAGACAAUAUUGCGCUCUGCGGUUACCAAUCUAAUCAGUCACCAUACUUUCAAGAACAACUGCAGUUUUGGCACCAUAAACAAUAUCUAACGCUCCAUCAGAUUCAGCAACAUUUGGACAUUUAUCAGUCUCAUCUGUUGCAGUACCACCCCCAACACAGUUUGCAAAGCUGCCAUGACCAUCUCAUGAAUCGUUAUUACCAACAACAGCUUGAUUACCACCCAUACUUUCAGACUUCUCAAGUGCAAAUACCAUCACUUGGAGAUGUCAGUCUGACAAAAAUUAUUGCAUUACCUGAAAAUGAUUCAACUGCAGCAAUAUCACAUGAAGAAUUGUGUCAAGAAUUAUCCCAAAUGCUCAAUGAACUACAAAUACAUUCAUGUCACAUUGAAGAAGUUCUCUCUGAAGAUCCAGAACUGCUGCUCUUGCUUCAAAUGCACCAACAACUCCUUAAACAUCAACAGCAUCUGUUACUCGAACAACAAAACCUGCCAUGUAACCACUCAAACCAACCAUUGUUGCACUGCCAGCAUCAUGUACUUUUAAAUCACCACCAACUACUGCUCUCCAAGUUAAAUUCCAUGAAUUCUCAGUCCAACAUGAUGCAGCUCUGCAGUUAUCAGUCAAAUCUGUCCCCGUACCAAGAACAGCAACUAUUGUUUUGGCACGAUCAACAAAAUAUGAUGCUUUACAAGGUCCAGGAACAUUUGGAUCUUUAUCAACAACAACUGCUACAGUAUCACCCCUUGCAACAUUUGCUUGGCUGUCAAAAUAAUCUCUUGAAUCCGUACUACAACCAAAAGCAAAAUUACAUUCCAUACUUUGAACCUGGACACCUACAAAUACCAACACUUGAAGAUGUGGAUGUGACAGAAACUUUUGCAGACUUUUUUGAUGCACUACCUGAAAAUGUUUCAGUUGCCGCAACAUCACAUAAAGAACUAUGUCAAGAAUUAUCUCAAAUGCUCAACGAACUACAAAUACAUUCAUCUCACAUUGAAGAAGUUCUCUCUGAAGAUCCAGAACUGCUGCUCUUGCUUCAAAUGCACCAACAACUCCUUAUACAUCAACAGCAUCUGUUACUCGAACAACAAAACCUACCAUGUAAUGACUCAAACCAACCAUUGUUGCACUGCCAACAUCAUGUACUUCUAAAUCACCACCAACUACUGCUCUACAAGUUAAAGUCUACGAAUCCUCAGUCUAACAUGAUGCAGCUCUGCAGUUAUCAGUCAAAUCUGUCCCCGUACCAAGAACAACAACUAUUGUUUUGGCACGAUCAACAAAAUAUGAUGUUUUAUAAGGUCCAGGAACAUUUGGAUCUUUAUCAACAACAACUGCUGCAAUAUCACCCCAUGCAACAUUUGCUUGGCUGUCAAAAUAAUCUCUUGAAUCCGUACUACAACCAAAAGCAAAAUUACAUUCCAUACUUUGAACCAGGACACCUACAAAUACCAACACUUGAAGAUGUGGAUGUGACAGAAAAUCUUGCAGACUGUUUUGAUGCACUACCUGAAAAUGUUUCAGUUGCUGCAACAUUACAUAAAGAAUUGUGUCAAGAAUUAUUUCAAAUGCUCAAUGAACUACAAAUACAUGCAUCUCACAUUGAAGAAGUUCUCUCUGAAGAUCCAGGACUGCUGCUCUUGCUUCAAAUGCACCAACAACUCCUUAUACAUCAACAGCAUCUGUUACUCGACCAACAAAACCUACCAUGUAACGACUCAAACCAAGCACUACUGCACUGUCAACAUUAUGUACUGCUAAAUCACCACCAACUUCUACUUGACCAGCUACAUCCAUCGCCAUACCAACAAGGCAUACAGCUUUGCCUUUCCCAACCCAAUCUUUCAUUAGACCGUCAACAGAAACUGGAGCUUUGGCAUGACCAACAGUUUGAAUUGCUCCACCAAGUCCAACAACAUUUAAAUUACACCCAGCAUCAUUUGCAACAGUACCCCGAUAUGCCAAUAGACAACUGCCAGCGUCACCUCCUAUCCCUUAACUCAUAGUAAUAAUACUUCUACAAUGGCUUUAAAGACAAAGUUGUUGCAGCUUCAACAAGAGCAUGUAUUGUGCUGUAGCAAUAAUAACUACUUAUGUACUGACUACUUUUGCUGUUUCACUGACAAGACCAACUUUUUUUGUGCCAACUUGAGCAGUGCCAUGACUAACAUCCGUUUCUCCACCAUCAUCCUCUGAAUGUAGUAAAAUACUGUAGGCUACUCCUCCCAGCCUCAAAUGAGCACCUUCACUACCAUUUACACUACGUUCUUCAUCCGGCAUCAUGACACCACCAAGGAUAACUGUUGCUAAAGUGCAAUGUGGUUAAACUACAGCUUUUCGGGUGAAAGUUAAAAGCUUACAAACAUAUAUGAUUAGAUUUUAUGUAAAUACAUGAGAUUAGUAAUAAAUAAAUUUCAAAGUAUAUUUUUGUGGAAGGA
This 16013-nucleotide long non-coding RNA is filed under the name Gouania willdenowi (blunt-snouted clingfish). RNAcentral describes it as "lncRNA (ENSGWIG00000017092.1)". Lineage: Eukaryota; Metazoa; Chordata; Actinopteri; Blenniiformes; Gobiesocidae. The record is from RNAcentral.